GUGGGGAAUAUUGGACAAUGGGCGCAAGCCUGAUCCAGCAAUGCCGCGUGCAGGAAGAAGGCCUUCGGGUUGUAAACUGCUUUUGUACGGAACGAAAAGGCUCUGGUUAAUACCUGGGGCUCAUGACGGUACCGUAAGAAUAAGCACCGGCUAACUACGUGCCAGCAGCCGCGGUAAUACGUAGGGUGCAAGCGUUAAUCGGAAUUACUGGGCGUAAAGCGUGCGCAGGCGGUUUUGUAAGACAGACGUGAAAUCCCCGGGCUCAACCUGGGAAUGGCGUUUGUGACUGCAAAGCUGGAGUGCGGCAGAGGGGGAUGGAAUUCCGCGUGUAGCAGUGAAAUGCGUAGAUAUGCGGAGGAACACCGAUGGCGAAGGCAAUCCCCUGGGCCUGCACUGACGCUCAUGCACGAAAGCGUGGGGAGCAAACAGGAUUAGAAACCCUGGUAGUCC
RNAcentral lists this ribosomal RNA (450 nucleotides) under uncultured bacterium. RNAcentral's name for it is "partial 16S ribosomal RNA". It matches the Rfam family "Bacterial small subunit ribosomal RNA", at positions 354 to 796 of the family's 1533-position model. The record is from RNAcentral.